CCUACGGGAGGCAGCAGUGGGGGAUAUUGCACAAUGGGGGGAACCCUGAUGCAGCGACGCCGCGUGAGUGAAGAAGUUAUUCGUAAUGUAAAGCUCUAUCAGCAGGGAAGAAAGUGACGGUACCUGAGUAAGAAGCACCGGCUAACUACGUGCCAGCAGCCGCGGUAAU
RNAcentral lists this ribosomal RNA (169 nucleotides) under uncultured bacterium. RNAcentral describes it as "partial 16S ribosomal RNA". It matches the Rfam family "Bacterial small subunit ribosomal RNA", at positions 338 to 524 of the family's 1533-position model. The record is from RNAcentral.